UACGUAGGGGGCAAGCGUUGUCCGGAUUUAUUGGGCGUAAAAGGCUUGUAGGUGGCCACGCCAAGUCGGAUGUGAAAUCUCCCGGCUCAACUGGGAGGGGUCAUUCGAUACUGGUGGGCUCGAGGCCGGUAGGGGGAAGCGGAAUUCCCGGUGUAGUGGUGGAAUGCGUAGAUAUCGAGAGGAACACCGGUGGCGAAGGCGGCGAUCUGGACGAUGACUGACGCUGAGACGCGAAAGCGUGGGGAGCAAACAGG
Molecule: ribosomal RNA, 254 nt
Filed under: uncultured bacterium
Lineage: Bacteria
Description: partial 16S ribosomal RNA
Rfam family: Bacterial small subunit ribosomal RNA
Source: RNAcentral